AUGAGGACUGGGUACUCUCAGAAACCGUGGCGGGUCAUGAAGCUGAAUCAGAGGGGAGGCCUGGGAAGCUGGGUCUUCAGCAGCUCACUGCUGGGGGCGCCUUUCUGCCUGUCCACCUGCUUUCAUUUCUCCCCCUCGCCCUCCCCACUCCACGUUUGCCCUCACAGCUUACGCAGCGCGGCCGCCGCCCUGCAAGCCCAGAGCCCGGUUUUGUUGAGUCCUCUUUCGCUGGGUGUGGGCUGCGAGUCGGUGAGUCACGAGCCUGGGCAGAGGUCAAAGGACAAACUCCACCAUCCCUUGUUCGGCCCGUGGAUGAGAGCGGGGCCAGUACCGAGACUGUGCCUUCCACAGCGUCCUCGUGAUGCCUUGGACGGACUGUGAUGGGCUAACGGAGCAACUCUGCCAGGCUGGCAAGGAAGUGAAGAGACAACUCCAAGCCUAGGACGCCGCCCGGAUCAGGCUCAGUUGUGCGCCUUCCUUCAUCCCCUCAUCCGCCUCCCCUGCUGUGGAGUGCAGGUGGCUGGGGAUGUCACUGGGAGCAGGAGACCUGUUCCCUGCUCUGUGGAAGACGCUAGUCAGGACAGGGACAGGUGGAUGAGUGGAGGGGGGUGCAGAACAUGCAGCCUGUCCCUUGCCCAGGACUUAACUGGGCCAACACAUCCCUGCAGGAUCAACCCUUACAAAGCCAGAGAGGUAAGGAGUACAUGCUGAUUAUUUAAUGACAGUAACUAGCCUCGGUCCCAGCAGUUUCCUUGUGUUAAUUCAUUUCAUCCCCACAGUGCUAUGAGGCGGAUCAUGUGGUUAGUUUCCUGUUACCACUGAGGACACUGAGGCACAGAUGGGUUAAACAGCAGUCCAAGGUCACACGGCAAGUAAGUAGCAAAUCCUGGGCUCAAACCCACAAAG
RNAcentral lists this long non-coding RNA (906 nucleotides) under Chinchilla lanigera (long-tailed chinchilla). RNAcentral describes it as "lncRNA (ENSCLAG00000023596.1)". The record is from RNAcentral. Lineage: Eukaryota; Metazoa; Chordata; Mammalia; Rodentia; Chinchillidae.